This 301-nucleotide ribosomal RNA is filed under the name uncultured bacterium. RNAcentral describes it as "partial 16S ribosomal RNA". It matches the Rfam family "Bacterial small subunit ribosomal RNA", at positions 509 to 809 of the family's 1533-position model. The record is from RNAcentral.
CAGUAGCCGCGGUAAUACGAAGGGUGCAAGCGUUACUCGGAAUUACUGGGCGUAAAGCGUGCGUAGGUGGUGGUUUAAGUCCGUUGUGAAAGCCCUGGGCUCAACCUGGGAAUUGCAGUGGAUACUGGGUCACUAGAGUGUGGUAGAGGAUAGUGGAAUUUCCGGUGUAGCAGUGAAAUGCGUAGAGAUCGGAAGGAACAUCUGUGGCGAAGGCGACUAUCUGGGCCAACACUGACACUGAGGCACGAAAGCGUGGGGAGCAAACAGGAUUAGAGACCCCCGUAGUCCCUGUCUCUUAUAA